This 458-nucleotide ribosomal RNA is filed under the name uncultured bacterium. RNAcentral's name for it is "SSU rRNA". It matches the Rfam family "Bacterial small subunit ribosomal RNA", at positions 26 to 518 of the family's 1533-position model. The record is from RNAcentral.
AGAAUCAACGCUGGCGGCGUGCCUAACACAUGCAAGUCGAACGAGAAAGGGUAGCAAUACCUGAGUAAAGUGGCGCACGGGUGAGUAACACGUGACUAACCUACCUUUUAGUGGGGGAUAACCUAGGGAAACCUGGGCUAAUACCGCAUAAUACCUACGGGUCAAAGCAGCAAUGCGCUGGAAGAGGGGGUCGCGGCCGAUUAGCUAGUUGGCGGGGUAAUGGCCCACCAAGGCAGUGAUCGGUAUCCGGCCUGAGAGGGCGCACGGACACACUGGAACUGAAACACGGUCCAGACUCCUACGGGAGGCAGCAGUGGGGAAUUUUGCGCAAUGGGGGAAACCCUGACGCAGCAACGCCGCGUGGAGGAUGAAGACCCUUGGGUCGUAAACUCCUUUCGAUCGGGACGAUAAUGACGGUACCGGAAGAAGAAGCCCGGCUAACUUCGCGCCAGCACCGC